This 207-nucleotide ribosomal RNA is filed under the name uncultured bacterium. RNAcentral's name for it is "partial 16S ribosomal RNA". It matches the Rfam family "Bacterial small subunit ribosomal RNA", at positions 568 to 774 of the family's 1533-position model. The record is from RNAcentral.
CGCGCAGGCGGGUUUGUCAGUCAGGGGUGAAAUCCUACAGCUUAACUGUAGAACUGCCUUUGAUACUGCAAACCUUGAGUUCGGAAGAGAGAGGCGGAAUUCCAGGUGUAGUGGUGUAAUACGUAGAUAUCUGGAAGAACACCAGAGGCGAAGGCGGUCUCUUGGUCCGUAACUGACGCUGAGGCGCGAAAGCGUGGGGAGCAAACA